AUAUUGGACAAUGGGGGCAACCCUGAUCCAGCCAUGCCGCGUGUGUGAAGAAGGUCUUCGGAUUGUAAAGCACUUUAAGUUGGGAGGAAGGGCUUUAGGUUAAUACCCUGAAGUUUUGACGUUACCAACAGAAUAAGCACCGGCUAACUCCGUGCCAGCAGCCGCGGUAAUACAGUGGUUGCAAGCGUUAAUCGGAAUUACUGGGCGUAAAGCGCGCGUAGGUGGUUCAGUAAUAUGGGCGUGAGAUCACCGGGCUUAACAUUGGAACUGCUUUCAUAACUGAUGAGCUAGAGUACGGUAGAGGGUAGUGGAAUUUCCUGUGUAGCGGUGAAAUGCGUAGAUAUAGGAAGGAACACCAGUGGCGAAGGCGACUACCUGGACUGAUACUGACACUGAGGUGCGAAAGCGUGGGGAGCAAACAG
This 422-nucleotide ribosomal RNA is filed under the name uncultured bacterium. Its description in RNAcentral is "partial 16S ribosomal RNA". It matches the Rfam family "Bacterial small subunit ribosomal RNA", at positions 361 to 775 of the family's 1533-position model. The record is from RNAcentral.